GAAGAAAUAACAUCUAUCAAAUCAGCCCUGCCUCAAAGUUCAGCUCACCCACCAGGAAUAAAACAUUUUCUACUGAAAAUGAAGAUAGUUUCUGAGUGUCCAGAUCAAAGACAGAAACAUAAUCUGUUGCAAAAUUUCUGCUCUUCUUGAGUUGCUGAAAGUAGUUCUUCCUGGUGCUAAAAGACUGCAGCUCCUUGAGAGAAGAGAAUAUGUCAGUUUUGUUCUCUGCUGUAACCUCAAUGCUGAGAGCAGGGUACAGACUCCCAGCCAGGCUGUCCUGACCUCCUGGGGACAAUGGCCAAGGAAGAGAAGCUCCAUGAUGAAGCCAAGGAAAGAGGGGCUGGGCCCCUUCUGUCUCAAGUGACACUGGUCAGGAGCAGAUUCAGCUUCCACAUUUUUAUAACAAGGCUAUAAUACCUGUCUGAUGCAGCUAUUACAAAAUCUGAAGGAUAUAGCAACAAGGUACCAUCUUAGAAGCAGAUGCCAGACACAGCCCUCAGCAGGCACCAGAUCUACUGGCACCUUGAUUUUGAACUUCCCAGCCUCCAGAACUGAGCAAAUAAAUUUCUAUUAUUUGUAAAUCA
Molecule: long non-coding RNA, 584 nt
Organism: Homo sapiens (human)
Lineage: Eukaryota; Metazoa; Chordata; Mammalia; Primates; Hominidae
Exons: 6
Source: RefSeq, a predicted model, not a curated record